GGGUUGUGAGGUUAAGCGACUAAGCGUACACGGUGGAUGCCCUGGCAGUCAGAGGCGAUGAAGGGCGUGCUAAUCUGCGAUAAGCGCCGGUAAGGUGAUAUGAACCGUUAUAACCGGCGAUUUCCGAAUGGGGAAACCCAGUGUGAUUCGUCACACUAUCAUUAACUGAAUCCAUAGGUUAAUGAGGCGAACCGGGGGAACUGAAACAUCUAAGUACCCCGAGGAAAAGAAAUCAACCGAGAUUCCCCCAGUAGCGGCGAGCGAACGGGGAGGAGCCCAGAGCCUGAAUCAGCAUGUGUGUUAGUGGAAGCGUCUGGAAAGGCGCGCGAUACAGGGUGACAGCCCCGUACACAAAAGCGCAUGUGCUGUGAGCUCGAUGAGUAGGGCGGGACACGUGGUAUCCUGUCUGAAUAUGGGGGGACCAUCCUCCAAGGCUAAAUACUCCUGACUGACCGAUAGUGAACCAGUACCGUGAGGGAAAGGCGAAAAGAACCCCGGCGAGGGGAGUGAAAAAGAACCUGAAACCGUGUACGUACAAGCAGUGGGAGCACCCUUCGGGGUGUGACUGCGUACCUUUUGUAUAAUGGGUCAGCGACUUAUAUUCUGUAGCAAGGUUAACCGUAUAGGGGAGCCGGAGGGAAACCGAGUCUUAACCGGGCGUUAAGUUGCAGGGUAUAGACCCGAAACCCGGUGAUCUAGCCAUGGGCAGGUUGAAGGUUGGGUAACACUAACUGGAGGACCGAACCGACUAAUGUUGAAAAAUUAGCGGAUGACCUGUGGCUGGGGGUGAAAGGCCAAUCAAACCGGGAGAUAGCUGGUUCUCCCCGAAAGCUAUUUAGGUAGCGCCUCGUGAAUUCAUCUCCGGGGGUAGAGCACUGUUUCGGCUAGGGGGCCAUCCCGGCUUACCAACCCGAUGCAAACUGCGAAUACCGGAGAAUGUUAUCACGGGAGACACACGGCGGGUGCUAACGUCCGUCGUGAAGAGGGAAACAACCCAGACCGCCAGCUAAGGUCCCAAAGUCAUGGUUAAGUGGGAAACGAUGUGGGAAGGCCCAGACAGCCAGGAUGUUGGCUUAGAAGCAGCCAUCAUUUAAAGAAAGCGUAAUAGCUCACUGGUCGAGUCGGCCUGCGCGGAAGAUGUAACGGGGCUAAACCAUGCACCGAAGCUGCGGCAGCGAACGUAUCACCCAAGACAACUUUACGGAGUUGACGAUUGACGGAGCGAAGCGACGUCAAAGCGUUCAUUAAAGUCGAGUUGGCUUAGGGAUACGUUCGUUGGGUAGGGGAGCGUUCUGUAAGCCUGUGAAGGUGUGUCGUGAGGCAUGCUGGAGGUAUCAGAAGUGCGAAUGCUGACAUAAGUAACGAUAAAGCGGGUGAAAAGCCCGCUCGCCGGAAGACCAAGGGUUCCUGUCCAACGUUAAUCGGGGCAGGGUGAGUCGACCCCUAAGGCGAGGCCGAAAGGCGUAGUCGAUGGGAAACGGGUUAAUAUUCCCGUACUUGGUGUUACUGCGAAGGGGGGACGGAGAAGGCUAUGUUGGCCGGGCGACGGUUGUCCCGGUUUAAGCGUGUAGGUGUGUGUUCCAGGUAAAUCCGGUUCACUUUAACACUGAGGCGUGACGACGAGGCACUACGGUGCUGAAGCAACAAAUGCCCUGCUUCCAGGAAAAGCCUCUAAGCAUCAGGUAACACGAAAUCGUACCCCAAACCGACACAGGUGGUCAGGUAGAGAAUACCAAGGCGCUUGAGAGAACUCGGGUGAAGGAACUAGGCAAAAUGGUGCCGUAACUUCGGGAGAAGGCACGCUGACACGUAGGUGAAGUGAUUUACUCAUGGAGCUGAAGUCAGUCGAAGAUACCAGCUGGCUGCAACUGUUUAUUAAAAACACAGCACUGUGCAAACACGAAAGUGGACGUAUACGGUGUGACGCCUGCCCGGUGCCGGAAGGUUAAUUGAUGGGGUCAGCGCAAGCGAAGCUCCUGAUCGAAGCCCCGGUAAACGGCGGCCGUAACUAUAACGGUCCUAAGGUAGCGAAAUUCCUUGUCGGGUAAGUUCCGACCUGCACGAAUGGCGUAAUGAUGGCCAGGCUGUCUCCACCCGAGACUCAGUGAAAUUGAACUCGCUGUGAAGAUGCAGUGUACCCGCGGCAAGACGGAAAGACCCCGUGAACCUUUACUAUAGCUUGACACUGAACAUUGAGCCUUGAUGUGUAGGAUAGGUGGGAGGCUUUGAAGUGUGGACGCCAGUCUGCAUGGAGCCGACCUUGAAAUACCACCCUUUAAUGUUUGAUGUUCUAACGUGGACCCGUAAUCCGGGUUGCGGACAGUGUCUGGUGGGUAGUUUGACUGGGGCGGUCUCCUCCUAAAGAGUAACGGAGGAGCACGAAGGUUGGCUAAUCCUGGUCGGACAUCAGGAGGUUAGUGCAAUGGCAUAAGCCAGCUUGACUGCGAGCGUGACGGCGCGAGCAGGUGCGAAAGCAGGUCAUAGUGAUCCGGUGGUUCUGAAUGGAAGGGCCAUCGCUCAACGGAUAAAAGGUACUCCGGGGAUAACAGGCUGAUACCGCCCAAGAGUUCAUAUCGACGGCGGUGUUUGGCACCUCGAUGUCGGCUCAUCACAUCCUGGGGCUGAAGUAGGUCCCAAGGGUAUGGCUGUUCGCCAUUUAAAGUGGUACGCGAGCUGGGUUUAGAACGUCGUGAGACAGUUCGGUCCCUAUCUGCCGUGGGCGCUGGAGAACUGAGGGGGGCUGCUCCUAGUACGAGAGGACCGGAGUGGACGCAUCACUGGUGUUCGGGUUGUCAUGCCAAUGGCACUGCCCGGUAGCUAAAUGCGGAAGAGAUAAGUGCUGAAAGCAUCUAAGCACGAAACUUGCCCCGAGAUGAGUUCUCCCUGAGACUUAGAGUCUCCUGAAGGAACGUUGAAGACGACGACGUUGAUAGGCCGGGUGUGUAAGCGCAGCGAUGCGUUGAGCUAACCGGUACUAAUGAACCGUGAGGCUUAACCUUACAACGCCGAAG
This 3011-nucleotide ribosomal RNA is filed under the name Salmonella enterica subsp. enterica serovar Aqua str. NVSL2001. RNAcentral's name for it is "bacterial LSU rRNA". It matches the Rfam family "Bacterial large subunit ribosomal RNA". The record is from RNAcentral. Lineage: Bacteria; Pseudomonadati; Pseudomonadota; Gammaproteobacteria; Enterobacterales; Enterobacteriaceae.